GAGUCAGUCAGCUUCCUGUUGCCUACAAGAUAUAUGACUAGCAGCUACAUUGCCUGUACACUGCCAUGCUCCCUGCCAUGAUGAUAAUGGACUGAACUUCUGAAACUUAAACUCACUUGAAGAAUGUGAGGAGGAAAACCAGAAAUAAAAGAAGUAUGGCAUUGAAAGCAGCAGAAAGCUGCUGACAGUGGGCUUUCCGAAAAAGAAAAGCAGUCAAAGGAUGAUGCAUUGUUGCAGAGCAGAGCAAGGUGCAGGGGAAAGUCCCAGGGAAAUGUGCAAGAUUCAGCACGCUUACCACUGCAGAAAAAAAAAAAAUGCCAAUGAGCAAUGUGUUGAUCAAAGUUCUGAGGAGGAGAGAUGCUCAAAUAUUUACUCAGAGCACUUCGCCGAAAGGUACCCAAGGGUGCUCCAAGGUGGCCACCAACUGACUUUUGGCAGAGACAGCAUUUCCUCUGUUCUAAGGGACCAUUCAUUCCCACCUGGCGCUUCCUCACACUCCCUCCCUCCUGCUCUAGCGCUCCUUAGGAAGAUGUUUUAUGAACUGUGUGCUUGAAUAUUUUUGUGCUUGCAGCAAAGAAUGUUGUUUUCCUAAAUCAAGAAGGAGAACAGAAACUUUGAAAACUGGGCUUCUCAGCCUCAGGAAUGCUGCUGCUCAGACACUGUCCUGGAAAGGACUACAAAUGAUACAGCUCCACACCUGGAGACAGACACCCUACUGUGAUGCCCACGCACCAUCUGCUGCCUCUGUUUCUCCACUUGCUGGCUUUGGGAAACCUUUUCUCAUCUGUUAAUGCAAAUUCUGUCUGAACCAAGGGAAGAGCUGUCUUGUCUACCACCUGGAUCACCUGGCAACAGCAAAGCUACAACUGAGGUAUGACCUGACCCAUCCACCAUUAUGAGUCAAAGAACCUCCAAGACACUGCUGAGUUCCUUCUGAAUUGGCCAUCCAUUGCUGGGCAUGGGGUCUAACCUCCAGAGUGAUUUGCUUCCCCAAAGAGACUCCCUUGGAGAAAUCUAACUUUUCACUUGCAAAUGAUUAUCAAUUGGAGAAAGCUUCUGGGUUAAGGAUGGAUGUGUGUAUCCAUUUCCACUCUUAGCACUGGGACCCCAUCUGGUGCAGACAUGUAAAAGUCCUGUAUAUACUGCCACAGUUUCUGUGAAUUCAUAUGUAUGCCAGUCACUCCAUGUAUAGAAGAUUUUGUUUCCAUGGUGCCUCCUGCCUCUUCUACUCCUCCCACUUUCUCUUCUGCAAGUUCCCAGAAGGGAAGCAUAAAUACAACAGAAAUGGUUAGAAGAUGAAGGAGGAGGAGGAG
RNAcentral lists this long non-coding RNA (1313 nucleotides) under Cricetulus griseus (Chinese hamster). Its description in RNAcentral is "lncRNA (ENSCGRG00015037436.1)". Lineage: Eukaryota; Metazoa; Chordata; Mammalia; Rodentia; Cricetidae. The record is from RNAcentral.